AUCCACUUUUACAUAAAGAAUGCAGUUAACGACCGCACCCUUCUGAUUGGAGUCCGAUCGGGAACUGGAGUUAGAAAAGGAUUUCAUACUACGACCAACGACCGAACCAUCCUCGAUGAAACCUGGGCAGCGGCCGCACCCUCCCCGAAAGAGGAGUUAGGGGCGGACUUCAGAUUUUUGUCCACCAACGAAAGUGACUUUGAUCAUGCAGCUG
Molecule: long non-coding RNA, 214 nt
Filed under: Elaeis guineensis (African oil palm)
Lineage: Eukaryota; Viridiplantae; Streptophyta; Magnoliopsida; Arecales; Arecaceae
Description: long non-coding RNA (EGUI_LNC052018)
Source: RNAcentral